UUGAUUUCAUUUGAAAACUUGACAGUACAAAUGAAGUAGAUUUUUUUGGUUGUAUUGCUGCUGCUGUUAAUCACCUGAUCUUUGUGAAUGUAUGCUACUAAAUGUUCCAUUGUAUCAUCAUAAUGUCGGGUAUCUGCACGUGCAGUGCACUUUUACGGCACUGAGAUGUUGUCCUCUGCAUAAUAUAGUACUAUAAAAGGAUGUGCAUUCUGUUGCGCCGCUUGUCAACCAGAUAUUCUGAGGAGAACAUUGGUUCCCAGACCCAGAGGAAAAUACCCUUUUUAUGUUGGAAAAUAUGGUUAAGCUUUUACCGCACACCUGCAUUCAGCUAUGUGCUCCACGGAGUAGGUAAAAAGUAGAUUAGCUCUUAUGUUUGUGCUCUUCAUAUGACUUUGGCUCAUUUCUCUUUAGCUCUUUAUAUCUCAUUUCUUGCUUGUUAAUUGAAUCUCAUUACCUUGUAGAUAGAUCUUUUAGCCUUGUGAUUUGGGUAGGUUAGCCUUUUUGUGAAUAAAUAACAUAGAGACUUUCUUCAAAUCAAACAAAGUUUUUUAACAGAUAUGCUACUUCAGGAAAACUGAAAGUAAUGUAAUGCUGCUUUCAUUCUCUACCUUUUGGUUCCUUUCUGAGAUUUUUUCCUGUUGUGCUCCAAACACAUUAAAAAGUUAUUUUCUUACAGAUGGGGCUAUCCUUAAGGACCUUCACACAAAAUACCAAUGCAAUACCUGUGAACUCUGAUAUCAACAGAAAGCUGAAUGUCCCUCCCUGGCUGCAUACUCCCUACUGGCAUUCGUCUAUUUAUCCCUUUCAUAUUUGUAUUUGCACUCUCUGUGCAGGCUUAGCUGUUUGGAAUCUGGUUUUGUGGUAGCUACAAUAUUGUCCAUUUUAUUGUUAUUUAUCCUUUUUGAUGCUUACCUUUCCGUCUUAGUUUUGCUGGUUACCGCCCCUAAUAGUCAUAUUGAACUAUAUUACUGUGUACUAUUGUUUUUGCUUCCUUGCGAUCAUGAUUUUACCCGGAUUAUCUUAUCAUUUAGGCAUGAUUCUUGUGUGGU
This 1049-nucleotide long non-coding RNA is filed under the name Capsicum annuum. RNAcentral describes it as "long non-coding RNA (CANN_LNC017997)". Lineage: Eukaryota; Viridiplantae; Streptophyta; Magnoliopsida; Solanales; Solanaceae. The record is from RNAcentral.